UGAUUGGUCAGCAGAAGAGAAACAUCUCUCUGCUGAGCUCUGCCAGGAACACAUUGGAGAACUGGGCUGAACAAACCUUUUCCACAGAAGAGGAGUGAAUGUGGAUGAAGAGAAGGCUGCCACUCUUUAUCCUGUCUCCAAAGCAAACAUUGCAUACUGUGGAGGUGAAACCUGGAGGAUCAUUGGCUAUGAGGUGUCAACCUGGACACCCAGAAAAUGAGGAAUAUACAGCUAGUGACCACCUAUGAAAGGUUUCCUGUAAGUGAUUUGACUAGCAUUGCAGUGGAACUCUUUUGUCUUUGACAAGGAUAGAAUCUAAUUUUCCAAGACAUCAUUCAACUGCCUUCAUUGUUAGCCCAUCAUCUCUUUUCCUGCAGUCCCCUGCCUUUCUCCACAUCUUUCAAGUUCUGCAACAAAUAAGGCAGGGGUUAAAAGGACAAACGACCUCCUUCACUGUACAACCCCAUUUUUUGCCACAGCAUAUGAACUGAAUGAGGCAAGAAUCCUGCAUGAGAAAAAAAUAAUGAUCACAUACUUAAAUGUUGUGCCAUAAUGAACGUGCAGAAGAGAUCUAAAUUAAGGUCUUGCAGGAAGACUUGCCUCUGGCUUUUCCAAAAGUAUUGAGUAUUUGACUACUUCACUUUUAUGGUCUUUUAAUGUGUAUGCAUGUGUGUAUGUCUGUUUUCUCCUAGAUGUUUUUAAAAGCAAACAGAAGGAAAACAAUCAGUCCCAUGAGAAUAUGGUGAAACCUACAUGGCAGAAGGCAGAAACUAAAAUAGGCCAUCAGCAGGGUUGGAACAUUUAGAUUCCCUGCACAGGCCACCGCCUUUCAAUGCCUUCAAUAAUGAAGCAUGUAAAAGCAAUAGAAGUGUGUCAUCCUCUAGCACUCAGAUAUACACCCUUUGCCAAGGGGUUUCAAAGCUUUCUGCUAUGGCUUCUUGUGUUCAGUUCUAGGUUCUGUAGUGGGAUGGUCAUCUUGCAGUUGUAGAAAAUUUCUACCAGUCUCCUUCCUUUCCACCCAUCCCUCCCCACCCUUCCCCAGAAGCACUGUUCCUUACAACCUGUGCCAAUCCUAGCUUUACCUCACUCCUAGCUCAUUGUAUCAGUCCCAAUAUCCAUCAUUAACUGUCCCAUCGUGUCCCAGUCUCCUUGGCAAAGUUAUAAGCCACCAAAAACUGUAAUGUAAGCAUUAAGGAACCUUUAUAGGUAAAACUAAUUGCACUGACUACAAUUAAUACUUUGCAUUUUUGUGUGUUGCACUUUGAAUAUAGAGGUUUUCCAAGGGGAUUGUAACAGUGGGGACAAAGUAUAACUAGGCUUCCUUCAGGCAAGCAGAAACUGAACUGUAUCACAGAGUUGUGAGACUGACAAAAAGAAGGCAUGACAAAUUUGAAUCUAAUAGACUAACCAGAUCAGAGGGUGCUGUAACAAGUUACCUUUAAGCCAUUCUAAAUCUCUUGAGUCUUAGGGCAUGUGUAGAUGAAAUGGGGGCCCUAAAUUGAAGCAGUGGAUUUUAAAAAACACCGCUUCAGUUUAGGGCUGAUUAAACCCCCAUGUCCUGCACACACCCUGCUGACUUACCGGCCUCUCCAGAUGGGAAGGGAGGGU
Molecule: long non-coding RNA, 1608 nt
Organism: Alligator mississippiensis (American alligator)
Lineage: Eukaryota; Metazoa; Chordata; Crocodylia; Alligatoridae
Exons: 4
Source: RefSeq, a predicted model, not a curated record